This 468-nucleotide ribosomal RNA is filed under the name uncultured bacterium. RNAcentral's name for it is "partial 16S ribosomal RNA". It matches the Rfam family "Bacterial small subunit ribosomal RNA", at positions 28 to 507 of the family's 1533-position model. The record is from RNAcentral.
GACGAACGCUGGCGGCGUGCUUAACACAUGCAAGUCGAACGGAAAGGCCCUGCUUUUGUGGGGUGCUCGAGUGGCGAACGGGUGAGUAACACGUGAGUAACCUGCCCUUGACUUUGGGAUAACUUCAGGAAACUGGGGCUAAUACCGGAUAGGAGCUCCUGCUGCAUGGUGGGGGUUGGAAAGUUUCGGCGGUUGGGGAUGGACUCGCGGCUUAUCAGCUUGUUGGUGGGGUAGUGGCUUACCAAGGCUUUGACGGGUAGCCGGCCUGAGAGGGUGACCGGCCACAUUGGGACUGAGAUACGGCCCAGACUCCUACGGGAGGCAGCAGUGGGGAAUAUUGCACAAUGGGCGGAAGCCUGAUGCAGCAACGCCGCGUGCGGGAUGACGGCUUUCGGGUUGUAAACCGCUUUCGCCUGUGACGAAGCGGGAGUGACGGUAAUGGGUAAAGAAGCACCGGCUAACUACGUG